Non-coding RNA from Phrynosoma platyrhinos (Desert horned lizard), 72 nucleotides. NCBI's taxonomy places the organism in Eukaryota, Metazoa, Chordata, Lepidosauria, Squamata, Phrynosomatidae. The record is from the annotation of a GenBank genome assembly.
GCCAGUGUGGUGUAGUGGUUUGAAUAUUGGACUCUGCUUCUGGAGAUGAGGGUUCAAAUCCCAUCUCAGCCA